UGCCUACGGGGGGCAGCAGUGGGGAAUAUUGCACAAUGGGCGAAAGCCUGAUGCAGCAACGCCGCGUGCGGGAUGACGGCCUUCGGGUUGUAAACCGCUUUCAGCAGGGACGAAGGGUUUCUGACGGUACCUGCAGAAGAAGCACCGGCUAACUACGUGCCAGCAGCCGCGGUGAUACGUAGGGUGCGAGCGUUGUCCGGAAUUAUUGGGCGUAAAGAGCUUGUAGGCGGUUCGUUGCGUCGGAAGUGAAAACUCAGGGCUUAACCCUGAGCCUGCUUUCGAUACGGGCGGACUUGAGGGAUGUAGGGGAGAACGGAAUUCCUGGUGGAGCGGUGGAAUGCGCAGAUAUCAGGAGGAACACCAGUGGCGAAGGCGGUUCUCUGGACAUUUCCUGACGCUGAGAAGCGAAAGCGUGGGGAGCAAACAGGAUUAGAUACCCGAGUAGUCGC
Molecule: ribosomal RNA, 449 nt
Filed under: uncultured Propionicimonas sp.
Lineage: Bacteria; Bacillati; Actinomycetota; Actinomycetes; Propionibacteriales; Nocardioidaceae
Description: bacterial SSU rRNA
Rfam family: Bacterial small subunit ribosomal RNA
Source: RNAcentral